UCGCUGACUUCUACAAAAAAAAAAAACACAAACAAAAACUCCCCUCUUGAUGGAGAAACGUUUUGGAUACUGGACUGACUGAAAUAAUGAAGAUUCAAUCAUCUUCCUCUUCCUCAGAAAUGUCUUUCUUCAAAGUAUGUUAUGUAUUUAUGUAUUCUCUCCAGGUACCUAGCUCUAACUCACUUUGACAUGUAUUAAUCCACUGUUGUUCAGUGAUGUACAUACAGAUUCCAUGUACAUGAAAGAUAGUAACACUAUAUGAAUACUAGAGAAUUAUUAUUUUUUAUUUUUUUGGGGGGGGGGGUUGAUUUCCUCUCCAACGUGAUCAUGACGACAUGGUCUGAAGUUUCCUGUUUCUGAUUUUACACUUGUGUUUUAUGAACAAAUGUUUCUCUCAUGAAGAUGUUUGGGUUCCAGGUAAAUGUGAGAGAUCGGGGCUCCGUCUUCUACCUUAUAACAUAACUAUAUAUAUAUAUAUAUAAAACUUAGUGUCGUAGUGUACUAUAUAGGGAAUAGUCUGUUAAUUCUCAGAUUAACUAAACCCUUCAGGCAAGUUUUUCGUCUCUAAAGAGUUCUGCUGAGGUAAAGACAUCGGCAUUCAUAGGUUCGGUUUGCUCCGACACCCAAGAGUUCAGUCUUGUCUGUUUCGACUGGGAAGCAUAAGGUAAGCUUGUGUCUAUCUAGCUCUGGGAAUCAUCUUUGGACCAGGGCCCACUACUGCACUAUAGAGGGAUCAGGGUCCCCCUAGUGCACUAUAGAGGGAACAGGGCCCCCUAGUGCACUAUAGAGGGAACAGGGUCCCCCUAGUGCACUAUAGAGGGAACAGGGUCCCCCUAGUGCACUAUAGAGGGAACAGGGCCCCCCUAGUGCACUAUAGAGGGAACAGGGCCCCCUAGUGCACUAUAGAGGGAACAGGGCCCCCUAGUGCACUAUAGAGGGAACAGGGUCCCCCUAGUGCACUAUAGAGGGAACAGGGCCCCCUAGUGCACUGUAGAGGGAACAGGGUCCCCCUAGUGCACUAUAGAGGGAACAGGGUCCCCCUAGUGCACUAUAGAGGGAACAGGGCCCCCUAGUGCACUAUAGAGGGAACAGGGCCCCCUAGUGCACUAUAGAAGGAACAGGGUCCCCUAGUGCACUAUAGAGGGAACAGGGCCCCCUAGUGCACUAUAGAGGGAACAGGGCCCCCUAGUGCACUAUAGAGGGAACAGGGCCCCCUAGUGCACUAUAGAGGGAACAAGGCCCCCUAGUGCACUAUAGAGGGAACAGGGCCCCCUAGUGCACUAUAGAGGGAACAGGGUCCCCCUAGUGCACUAUAGAGGGAACAGGGUCCCCUAGUGCACUAUAGAAGGAACAGGGUCCCCUAGUGCACUAUAGAGGGAACAGGGUCCCCUAGUGCACUAUAGAGGGAACAGGGCCCCCUAGUGCACUAUAGAGGGAACAGGGCCCCCUAGUGCACGAUAGAGGGAACAGGGUCCCCUAGUGCGCUAUAGAGGGAACAGGGCCCACUAGUAUGCUAUAGAGGGAACAGGGCCCACUAGUAUGCUAUAGAGGGAACAGGGUCCCCCUUGUAUGCUAUAGAAGGAACAGGGUCCCCCUAGUGCACUAUAGAGGGAACAGGGCCCCCUAGUGCACUAUAGAAGGAACAGGGCCCCCUAGUGCGCUAUAGAAGGAACAGGGUCCCCUAGUGCACUAUAGAGGGAACAGGGCCCCCCAGUGCAGAGGGAACAGGGGCCCCCCCAGUGCAGAGGGAACAGGGUCCCCCUAGUAUGCUAUAGAGGGAACAGGGCCCCCUAGUGCGCUAUAGAAGGAACAGGGCCCCCCCCAGUGCAGAGGGAACAGGGCCCCCCCAGUGCAGAGGGAACAGGGUGCUAUUUGGGAUGCAGACAUUUUGUCUGUGCCUCAGCCUUUCUUCAGUGUCUACGUUUCUGUCCGUCCUUCUGAACGUGAUUUGGUAACGAAGAAACCGCUCCAAUGAUCCAGUACGGAAUAAAAGGAUCAUCUCUUCUAGAACUUUCUAGAACUUUCACCUGACUGUCAUGUUUCUUGAAGUCAAUUAAUUCAGUUUAUUUUUUAAACUUUCUCAUGAUCAAUUUGUCAUCAGUUGUUGUGUGUCUGUUCACUCCAAAGGUCUGAAAUGAAUAAAACAAAUCAAAAUGA
This is a long non-coding RNA of Oncorhynchus keta (chum salmon), 2157 nucleotides long. RefSeq lists it as uncharacterized. The record is from RefSeq and is a predicted model, not a curated record. NCBI's taxonomy places the organism in Eukaryota, Metazoa, Chordata, Actinopteri, Salmoniformes, Salmonidae. The transcript has 2 exons.